Orcinus orca (killer whale) is the source of this 8164-nucleotide RNA transcript. It is a transcript of the gene named heterogeneous nuclear ribonucleoprotein U, with no coding region annotated. The record is from RefSeq and is a predicted model, not a curated record. NCBI's taxonomy places the organism in Eukaryota, Metazoa, Chordata, Mammalia, Artiodactyla, Delphinidae. The transcript has 15 exons.
UGGCGCCGUUCGACACCAGGCGGAUCCGCUCUGCAGCAGCAACCCAGCUCCAGCCGCAGCCGCAGCCGCCGCCUGGGCCGAGGAGCAGCCUCAGCCGCCGCCAGUGGCCGAGUGAGCGGAGCCGAGUUUGAGCCAGCGCCUAGCGGUGAAUCGGGGCCUCACCAUGAGUUCCUCGCCUGUUAAUGUGAAAAAGCUGAAGGUGUCGGAGCUGAAGGAGGAGCUCAAGAAGCGGCGCCUGUCCGACAAGGGCCUCAAGGCCGAGCUCAUGGAGCGUCUCCAGGCCGCGCUGGACGACGAGGAGGCCGGGGGCCGCCCCGCCAUGGAGCCCGGGAACGGCAGCCUAGACCUGGGCGGGGAUUCCGCCGGGCGCUCGGGAGCAGGCCUCGAGCAGGAGGCCGCGGCAGGCGGCGAUGACGACGAGGAGGAAGAGGAGGAGGAGGAGGAAGGGAUAGCCGCCCUGGAUGGCGACCAGAUGGAGCUCGGGGAGGAGAACGGCGCCGCGGGGGCGGCCGACUCGGGCCCGAUGGAGGAGGAGGAAGCCGCCUCGGAGGACGAGAACGGCGACGACCAGGGCUUCCAGGAAGGGGAGGAUGAGCUCGGAGACGAGGAGGAAGCCGCAGGCGACGAGAACGGGCACGGGGAGCAGCAGCCUCAACCGCCGGCGGCGCCGCAGCAACAGCCCCAGCAGCAGCGCGGGGCCGCCAAGGAGGCCGCGGGGAAGAGCAGCGGCCCCACGUCGCUGUUCGCGGUGACGGUGGCGCCGCCCGGGGCGAGGCAGGGCCAGCAGCAGGCGGGAGGUAAGAAGAAGGCGGAAGGCGGCGGAGGCGGCGGUCGCCCCGGGGCUCCGGCGGCGGGAGACGGCAAAACAGAACAGAAAGGCGGAGAUAAAAAGAGAGGUGUUAAAAGACCUCGAGAAGAUCAUGGCCGUGGCUAUUUUGAGUACAUUGAAGAGAACAAGUAUAGCAGAGCCAAAUCUCCUCAGCCACCUGUUGAAGAAGAAGAUGAGCACUUCGACGACACAGUUGUUUGUCUUGAUACUUAUAAUUGUGAUCUACAUUUUAAAAUAUCAAGAGAUCGCCUCAGUGCUUCUUCCCUUACUAUGGAGAGUUUUGCUUUUCUUUGGGCUGGAGGAAGGGCAUCCUAUGGUGUGUCAAAAGGCAAAGUCUGUUUUGAGAUGAAGGUUACAGAGAAGAUCCCAGUAAGGCAUUUAUAUACAAAAGAUAUUGACAUACACGAAGUUCGGAUUGGCUGGUCACUAACCACAAGUGGAAUGUUGCUUGGUGAAGAAGAAUUUUCUUAUGGGUAUUCUCUAAAAGGAAUAAAAACAUGCAGCUGUGAGACUGAAGAUUAUGGAGAGAAGUUUGAUGAAAAUGAUGUGAUUACAUGUUUUGUUAACUUUGAAAGUGAUGAAGUAGAACUGUCCUAUGCAAAGAAUGGACAAGAUCUUGGCAUUGCCUUCAAAAUCAGUAAGGAAGUUCUUGCUGGACGACCACUCUUCCCGCAUGUUCUGUGCCACAACUGUGCGGUUGAGUUUAAUUUUGGUCAGAAGGAAAAGCCAUAUUUUCCAAUACCUGAAGACUAUACUUUUAUCCAGAAUGUCCCCUUGGAGGAUCGAGUUAGAGGACCAAAGGGGCCUGAAGAGAAGAAAGAUUGUGAAGUGGUUAUGAUGAUUGGCUUGCCAGGAGCUGGAAAAACUACCUGGGUUACUAAACAUGCAGCAGAAAAUCCUGGUAAAUACAACAUUCUUGGAACAAACACCAUAAUGGAUAAAAUGAUGGUGGCAGGUUUUAAGAAGCAAAUGGCAGAUACUGGGAAACUAAACACGCUGUUGCAGAGAGCUCCACAGUGUCUUGGAAAGUUUAUUGAGAUUGCUGCCCGUAAGAAGAGAAAUUUCAUUUUGGAUCAGACAAAUGUGUCUGCUGCUGCCCAGAGGAGAAAAAUGUGCCUGUUUGCAGGCUUCCAACGAAAAGCUGUUGUAGUUUGCCCAAAAGAUGAAGACUAUAAGCAAAGAACACAGAAGAAAGCAGAAGUAGAGGGAAAAGACCUACCGGAACAUGCAGUCCUCAAAAUGAAAGGAAACUUCACUCUGCCAGAAGUAGCUGAGUGCUUUGAUGAAAUAACGUAUGUUGAACUUCAGAAGGAGGAAGCCCAAAAACUUUUGGAGCAAUAUAAGGAAGAAAGCAAAAAAGCUCUUCCACCGGAAAAGAAACAGAACACAGGCUCAAAGAAGAGCAAUAAAAAUAAGAGUGGCAAGAACCAGUUUAACAGAGGUGGUGGCCAUAGAGGGCGCGGUGGAUUCAAUAUGCGUGGUGGAAAUUUCAGAGGAGGAGCUCCUGGGAAUCGUGGUGGAUAUAAUAGGAGGGGCAAUAUGCCACAGAGAGGUGGUGGCGGUGGCGGAAGUGGUGGAAUUGGCUAUCCAUAUCCUCGUGGCCCUGUUUUUCCCAGCCGAGGCGGUUAUUCAAACAGAGGGAAUUACAACAGAGGCGGAAUGCCUAACAGAGGGAACUACAACCAGAACUUCAGAGGACGAGGAAACAAUCGUGGCUACAAAAAUCAAUCUCAGGGCUACAACCAGUGGCAGCAGGGUUCUGUCCAUGUGAAUGUGCUGUGUGGAAGAGUAAAAGGGUCCAAGUAAAUGUGUUCCAGUGAUUCCAAUAGGUAUUCCAAAUUAAUUGCUGCUUGUACAUUUAACACGUGUUAUACUGGGCUUCCAGGAUCACCUUAAUUAGAACUCUUAUUUUAAAAAGGCAGGGGAAAGGGAGAAAUUAGUAACUAAGUGCAUAGAUUUGUUUGUAACAGGAAAGAAAGGUUCUCUAGUAUCUCCUUUGCAUACCUGAAAUGUGAGGUAUUUGGUGGUAUGUUAGCAAUUGGUGGUCCUCUUGCAUAGGUUAAAGGCAGUACAUGUAAAUAGAGCCAAGUCCCUUUAAGGUUAAAUCCUUAUUCUAAUGGUUCAAAUUCCUUCUAUUUAAUGUUAUGUAAGACAUUGUUUCAAUAUCCUCCCUACUUGUAGAGUUGAAAUACUUCCUUACAAUAUUCUAAUACAAAGAUAGCUAGGAUACCUAUGUCCUUGGGUUCCCAAAAUCUUUCUGUAUCUGUAUGAAAUGCACAAAUACUUUUUGUCAGCUUAUAAUAACUUGGAAAAUGAUCUUUUUGGAUAAUGAAGUGAUGUAAAUUUACAUCAAAGUACAAAAAGAUCAAGAAGUGAAAUUUAAGACAAGGACUUUGAUUAUGUUAGUCCAGAGCAUGUACUUUCUUGUUGCCCUGAAAUUAUUUAAAGACUUAAUAAGAAGCUUAGAAGAAAUUAGUUUUUCCCACUACAUACUUGAGAAUAAUGUAUUUUGGUGAAGUGAGAGGACUUGGCUGCUGUACUGACUGAAAAUAUAACUACCAGGGUUUCCUCAGUGAAAUACAGUUCUACUCUGUCAAAUAAAAGCAAUCUCUAAAGACUUGAAGAGCAGACAACUUAGAGUAAAAGGUAAAAACUCAAAGCCAUUUCUGUUCAUUUGAGAGAAAACAAACUAGAAAGAUGUUUUUAAAGCAAACUUAGAAUUUAGAUAGUAGAACACGUUUCAUUUCACGUGACUAGUCCUUGUGGUCUAAGGGGGAAGACAUUUUUAUGAAAACUUAACCCUUUAAGAAACCAGUAUAUGCAAAUUUGAAUCCCCUAAGGGUAGGCCAUAUAUAAUAGGUGUUUUACAACUUACAGAACUUGGUAAAAGUUAUUCCUAGAAAAGAGUAGAAAAGAUAGCUGCCUGUUAAGUCCAUGUGAACAUUUAGUGAACAAUAGAAACUUUUAAUUUAGUACUUAUAGUCACUGGUAGCUUUCUCAAGAUAAAAAUACUUGGAAAAAGUCAUCUUUUAAUCUCUAGAAAAUAAAGAGUGGUUGAAAAGACUCAAAUGUUUGCAACACUGAUCAGUAGUGCUCACAUUAUGAACUUUAAAAUGUAAUACUUUAUUAAAAAACUAAGCUUUUUUGUCCCUAAAGCUUGUCUUAAAAGAAAAUUUAAAUAUGGAACUUAAUGCACAAAAACAACGUGUAAGAUACCAGUAUUUGGGUGGUAGAGGAUAUUAUAUAUUAUUACUGACCUGAUUUGAUGACCAAUGGACCAUAUUUUAAGAUGCUUCCCAAAGAUAUUUUAUUCUAGAGUACUAUUAAAAACCACAGUUAAAGCAAUCAGUAAUUUUUCUACUUUCCUCAUUAAGGUAUUCUGCUUUCCCAAAGUAGUUUACGUUAACAUCACUUUUAAAGGGGUGUCUUAAUCCCCAUCCACCACAGAUUUUUACCUAGGAAUAGAAGGAUUCAAACCCUAUUUGAUCCCUAGCUUUUUGCUGAAAAGUGCAUAAACAGGAAUCCUGAAUUUAUUAUAUAGACCUCCUCGCAUUAUAAAAUCGAAGCAAAGGGAAACCAGCGAUGGAGUAGAGGUACGUAGACUGAAGAGAUGCUUGCAAAUUAAAUAAUGGUAUUAGGGAUAGUCAGAUUUCUUGUUGGCAAACUUGGUCAAUAGAAAUCACACGUCCAGAGAAAAGCUAGUUAAUUUUAAAUUCCCUGAGGUUCUUUUACUGAGAUGUAAAGCAAGUAGUCAAGGAAAAACAAAGAGGGAGGGGUGAGGGAAGGGGGGGAACUGCAUAAAGCACUUAGAGGUAGUUAAUUAAAGUAGGUAUGAUAAGCUGCAGUUUUAAACCUACUAAUUGCCACAAUUCUAUUUUAAUCAGCUAUUUAGCUGGUACCUACCGCUAUAUCACCUAGUGUGAAAUUUCGGAUUUAAUGGAAUAAUGAAGGAAGCAGUGCAGCUGGAGGCUUCAAGUGGGCUCGGAAGGUCUCCAAUUUAUGCAGUCAUUCUGCUGUGAAAAUGAACUAACCUUGUUAUUAUUGAAGGCCUUGGAAAUUUUUACCAGCUGAGAGAUUUUUCUCUUACUCAGGGUAAGACGUAAUCAUAGUGUGCUAGAGCUGGAAGGGACUUGACUUACAUAAUCCAUUUGCCUGAUUUCAUAUGUUACAUGUUAUCAAACUGAAGCUGAGAACGUAAGUGGCCUGCACAGCUUGUUAAAUAUCAAAUUUGAUUAGUACUCAUCAAUUCCUCCACCCCACCCCAACUCAUGCCUUUUAAAACAUGAGUGACUGUCACAUGGAAUUUUUAACAUAGUUGUUUAAGAUCAAUUUGAAUAAUACAGACUGCACCUAGCUCUGAUUUGUGUCAGUAACGGCAGGCAGAUGAUCUUGCAAAAACUUCUUUCUCUUUUCUAAUAACCUUCCCUUGUUAAUGUCCAAGUCUUUCCUUUGGUGGCUGCCAGAUGAUUAGGAUCAAUAAAAAUCUCUCAGAACAUAUAUGCUUGACAGUGUCACUCAUGAUAGGGCAUUUGGUAAACCAUAUAGCUUGUGUACCCUAACCCUCAUAAUGACAGCCAUAAGAAGGUGAGCAUGGGAGGGAAAAUGCUACUGCUCUUAUGAAGUGAACUGGAGCAGGCCCCUACCUAUCCUGAAAACGGAUUAAGAACAAAAUAAAGUUUCAAAACAUCUCUUCCUUGAUCUGUUUAGCUCACCCGUGAUAAUCAGUAGGACCAGUAAUAAUGCCAUAAUCCUAUCCACUGGUGUCUUUUCAUACUUAUCAUUCCUUAACCAGAAAGGUCUCUAAGCCUGUGUUUUAAGUAAUGUUGAUAUUUAUUAAACCAAAAAUGAUGAAUGAAUGAAUAAAUGCUGUGGACUUAGUUGGGUGUUGGGUGCUUUUUUUAAAUGGCAGCCAGUUGAAUUAUAAAUGUCUUUACGUUAAUGGAACAAUAUGUAAUUCUGCAGUAUUUUCCUUUGCACCAAACAAGUUUCUGAAAAUAUUUUUAUGUGUGCCAUGUACAUAUUUAAGUUCUACUUAAAAAUAAAAACCCUGCAUACAUCCCAAAAAUAUUUAGAGCAGCUAAAAACCACUUUUCCUUUCUGAGAGAUGACUCACCUGUUGAAGUGGAAGAAUAGGGUCAAGCAAUGGGUACAUUUUUAAAAUAAAAAUUGCAGAGUGACGGCCCAUUAGUUUUAAGUCUGAUAUAACAUCACUGGCUUUAGAAAUCAAAGUAUCCCCUCAUUUUUAACAGGGUACAGUAAUACAGUUGUGAUUUUUGUUUUUAAGGCAAGUUUUAACAUUGAACUGAGAUUUUAUUUCUUGAAACGUCAGGUGUACUCACUGCUUACCAUAAGGAAACACUUUUCUAAGCAUGAUAAACACGAGGUUUAUUUUAAGUAUGAGUCCACUAUGUGCUAUACUGACAGUAGAUACAGGGGCAGAAUAAGUUUGUACAUACACAUGUAAAAUGACAACAACUUACACAUACUUUAUUUACUUGGUUGAAAGCCUUGUGGUAUAUAAAAUGCUUUCUAUAGUUGAUCUCGGCUUGGUUCACACCGAAGUGAGUUGUAUCUGGGUUUUCUGUGCUCAAGACUGCUCAAUUGCUGCUGCUGCCGCUGUUGGUUUGUUUUCUUUCAGGAUCAAGGUGGGUACUUUCAUAUAAAAUCUUGUUUUUAAUUCCUUCUCUGGCACGUCUUUCCUGGAUUCUUAGCUUUGCAUAAUUAUACCUACAAUGGAACCUAGUAAGGAGAACAUGAAUAAAUUGAUAUAAUAUACCUGUAGAAACGAAUUUGAAAUUUGUAAUCAAAAUUUUUAAAUGCUUACAGAUGACUGUCAGUGGUUGUGAACACAUUCUUAAGGUAGCAUUUUCAGAUGUUAUGCCAUAGGUAGGGAUUGAAAUGAGCAUUAGGAUAAGAUAAAAGGUUGAGGCCUUCCUAAACGAAGUAUAAACCCUGACAUGGCAUUAAUGCAGUGCCUAAUGCCAUGCAUUCAUCUGUUCAUUUGACAGAUGACACAAGAUGUGUGUGUAUAUAUACAUAUUUAAAAGAUUAAAGGCAGUCCGGCAAUAUCAUUUUGUAAGAUAAAUUUCCGUGAGGGUGGGGAAUCUUAGUGGGAGAUUGCUCUGAGUAGAGCAUGUCCUUUGGAACUAGAUAAACCUAUUAGAAUCGUGGAUCUUCUUGAAUACUUAGCACACAUACCAGCAUCCUAAAGUCACCAAGAUAAAUCCUCCUAUUCCAACGUCACAUGAUCUUCUAAUUCUACCUGUCAAAAGGAAGCAUAAACACUAAUACACUGCAUGUUAUAAUACUUCCUCUAGGAAAAAAACUUCAGAGAAACAUGUUUUUUAUGCAUAGAGAAAAGCAGAUACUCACUAGUUAACAAAAAGUGUCCGAGGCCAGCCACAACAGAUCCUAAUGAGCCAUACAGUGUCGAAUCCCGAGCACAGGGGAUGUUUUCAACAUCUAAAAUUCCUAGGAGCUUAAAGGGCUACGAAAAAUAAAAAAACUUAGGUUGGACAAGAGAAUAUUUUAUUUUAGGGUGGUUUGGCAAAGACGAAAACCAUCUUUAAUCAUCCUGCUUUGGUAUGUAAUAUGAAUCUAAAAUGGAAACCCUGAGAAUUUGACCAGAAAGUCCUAAGCAGGUAGGGUAAAUUAAACCUAAAUAGAUUAUGGUACCAUGGUUAUGCUAUAAUUUGUUAAUCAACUGGUUUGGAGAUAAGGUAAGGGCAUACAUUAUUUUAUGAGCUCUUUAAACAUCUGUAUGAAAUCAUUUGGGGGAUUUGGCUAUCAUUGAAAUUUAAAAGCAGCAUAAUUUCCUUCUAAUAACCUGAGAUGCAUAGAUGGGAAAAGUGAAAUUGUCCUAACCAUGUUGCUUAUAAUAUUAGUAUACUGCUGUUUUAAAUUCCUUUAAGGAGGACUGCAGAUUUUCUGUGUUAACUAGUAACAACACAUCAGUUGUGUCUGUAAGAAUAAAUACUUUGUGUUGAGACAAAUCUCGUCUGUUUCUUGCCUGUGAUAUGACUUGCCUGUGAUAUGAAGUUGCUGUUGAUUCUAUUUCUUUGUUGAUAGUACAUGGUAACCAUACCUAGGUGUGAUGAAAAAAGCUGGAAAUCUACAGGGUUGGAUUUUAUUCUCAGCUCUGCCACUAACUUCUGUAACCUGUAGGACAUAUUUUUUUAUCUGGCCUGCAAUCUGUAAUGAAGGGGUUCAGCUAGGUGAUAAUUUAAGUUCCUUCAAGUGCUAAAAUGAAUGGUUUUAAAAUUCUUUAUAUAGUCUUCAUUGGAUUUAUGGAUUUGUUCUCCCUCAUUAAAAAAUACUGCCACUUUAAGCAUAACA